This 763-nucleotide ribosomal RNA is filed under the name uncultured Streptococcus sp. RNAcentral's name for it is "bacterial SSU rRNA". It matches the Rfam family "Bacterial small subunit ribosomal RNA", at positions 28 to 776 of the family's 1533-position model. Lineage: Bacteria; Bacillati; Bacillota; Bacilli; Lactobacillales; Streptococcaceae. The record is from RNAcentral.
GGCGAACGCUGGCGGCGUGCCUAAUACAUGCAAGUAGAACGCUGAAGGAGGAGCUUGCUCUUCUGGAUGAGUUGCGAACGGGUGAGUAACGCGUAGGUAACCUGCCUGGUAGCGGGGGAUAACUAUUGGAAACGAUAGCUAAUACCGCAUAAGAGUAGAUGUUGCAUGACAUUUGCUUAAAAGGUGCAAUUGCAUCACUACCAGAUGGACCUGCGUUGUAUUAGCUAGUUGGUGAGGUAACGGCUCACCAAGGCAACGAUACAUAGCCGACCUGAGAGGGUGAUCGGCCACACUGGGACUGAGACACGGCCCAGACUCCUACGGGAGGCAGCAGUAGGGAAUCUUCGGCAAUGGACGGAAGUCUGACCGAGCAACGCCGCGUGAGUGAAGAAGGUUUUCGGAUCGUAAAGCUCUGUUGUAAGAGAAGAACGAGUGUGAGAGUGGAAAGUUCACACUGUGACGGUAUCUUACCAGAAAGGGACGGCUAACUACGUGCCAGCAGCCGCGGUAAUACGUAGGUCCCGAGCGUUGUCCGGAUUUAUUGGGCGUAAAGCGAGCGCAGGCGGUUAGAUAAGUCUGAAGUUAAAGGCUGUGGCUUAACCAUAGUACGCUUUGGAAACUGUUUAACUUGAGUGCAAGAGGGGAGAGUGGAAUUCCAUGUGUAGCGGUGAAAUGCGUAGAUAUAUGGAGGAACACCGGUGGCGAAAGCGGCUCUCUGGCUUGUAACUGACGCUGAGGCUCGAAAGCGUGGGGAGCAAACAGG